This 448-nucleotide ribosomal RNA is filed under the name uncultured bacterium. Its description in RNAcentral is "partial 16S ribosomal RNA". It matches the Rfam family "Bacterial small subunit ribosomal RNA", at positions 330 to 795 of the family's 1533-position model. The record is from RNAcentral.
ACCAGACUCCUACGGGAGGCAGCAGUGGGGAAUAUUGCACAAUGGGGGAAACCCUGAUGCAGCGACGCCGCGUGAGCGAAGAAGUAUUUCAGUAUGUAAAGCUCUCUCAGCAGGGAAGAAAAUGACGGUACCUGACUAAGAAGCACCGGCUAAAUACGUGCCAGCAGCCGCGGUAAUACGUAUGGUGCAAGCGUUAUCCGGAUUUACUGGGUGUAAAGGGAGCGUAGACGGCAGUGCAAGUCUGAAGUGAAAGGCCGGGGCCCAACCCCGGGAGUGCUUUGGAAACUGUGCGGCUAGAGUGUCGGAGAGGCAAGUGGAAUUCCCAGUGUAGCGGUGAAAUGCGUGGAUAUUGGGAGGAACACCAGUGGCGAAGGCGUCUUGCUGGACGGUACCUGACGCUGAGGCGCGAAAGCGUGGGUAGCGAACGGGAUUAGAUACCCGCGUAAAC